AAAGUGUGUUCUAUGAGCACAAUGUGUUUAACACAAUUACACAUUUGAAAAAUCAAUAGAAAUGCAUACCUGACAGCAGAUCUCCAGAGACUCACAC
Sinocyclocheilus grahami is the source of this 97-nucleotide long non-coding RNA. RefSeq lists it as uncharacterized. The record is from RefSeq and is a predicted model, not a curated record. The transcript has 3 exons. Lineage: Eukaryota; Metazoa; Chordata; Actinopteri; Cypriniformes; Cyprinidae.